Molecule: long non-coding RNA, 1507 nt
Filed under: Oryzias sinensis (Chinese medaka)
Lineage: Eukaryota; Metazoa; Chordata; Actinopteri; Beloniformes; Adrianichthyidae
Description: lncRNA (ENSOSIG00000017779.1)
Source: RNAcentral
GUUUGAACAGUCUUUGCUAAAAUUGCUUGUUCAGACAUGAAAUGUUAUGAAAAUAGAGCCAGAUUAGAGAUAUUUUCAUGAGGCUGUUUUCAUUCCUUCAUCUUGCUUGUUCACUUGUAGUUAACAUGUUUCCCAAAGAUUCCUACACAAAGACUCUAACAUACACACAAAUUCAGUAAUAGUGGUGGAAAACAUGUCUUUUGUUUGCUGGUUCUGCCCCCUUUUGCGGCUCAGAGGAGUCAGCCCUCAUCAGCUGUGCCAUUGUCACAAGGCAACACACCCUUAACUGGUACACUUGAGUCUCAGGUGAAUCUGUAGAGAGACUGUGCUCCACCUACAUAGACUUUAUACAACGGAUGAAGACUGACACUUCAAACAAAAUUCGCUUUCUUCACAAAGUCCCCCCAUCCCAUGAGACUUACUGCGUUAUGAAAUUACACUCUUUUUUCCUGCUGAUUUACUUGGGGACCUUCUGUGUGGGAUCAGCUGCCUUUAGAAAUACAACAUGUGCAAGAAGAGAUAUGUGCGAUCCGGAGCCGGAUGCAACGUCUCAUUUCCUGCAAUGUGCCGGGCUGCCUCCAACAGACACCGGCAGAGACCACAUGCACCGGCUAAAAAGAAUCCUUGAAGGCACCAUGGACAUUUACACUUUCAUGAAAUCCAGCUUAAAUGGUGUGCCACUACUGUCUCUGGAAGGAGAACUGGAGUUAAACGGGAGAGCAGAUCCACUUCAGAAUGAAGCCUUGGUCCAAAUGUGGCUGGAGAUCAAGAUGAAACCGCUGCUGAAAUCCAUAACUAAGCAUUUUCUUUCCUGCCUCAGUACCAAGAAUUUCAGCUGCUCCACUUACCAGACUGUGAUAAAAGAGCUCAGUCAACAUUACUCAGAAAUUAAUCCAGCUCAGCAAAAAUGGAUCUACACAUUCUUCAUGUAUCCAUUCUUGUCAGGAGACGGAAUUUAUGGUUGUGCGGACUCAGAAGUAAGCAGUGAGGAGUGGCUGAUGAAGAAUUUUGGUGCUUUCAGAGCAAUGGCCAGAAUGAAGGACUUCUCUGCUCUAAACAUGGUCUUCAGUGGAGUGGAAGUGCUUCACCUGCUGUCUCCUGCACAAAAAGCAGAGCUGCUCAUGAGGCCUGAAGUGGAAAGCUUUGAAAACGGCACCCUAUCCCUGAUCUUCCACAGUUUGUUAACAGGAGGCUCUGAAUCCACACCCACUGCUCGCCCCGGAGGCGACCAGAGCUGGACAACACCUGCAGAAUCAUCUACAUUACCUUCCCAUCCAACACAGCCUGCACAUCAGUCUCACCACCUGUCUCCACGUGAAAAGCUCAGAAAGGUGCUGUUUUUCUGUUUUUGUAGAAAAUGAAUAAAGCCACAAAAUAACAAAGUUUUACAUUAAGAAAAUCUAAUCAAAAAUCAAUGAUCAACAAAUAACGUUACAGAUUGUUUUGUUAAUAACUUACAACUGAGCAUAAAUGCAGAUAAAGUAAAUGGGAUCCAUUUAUUGACUCU